This 1307-nucleotide ribosomal RNA is filed under the name metagenome. RNAcentral's name for it is "SSU rRNA". It matches the Rfam family "Eukaryotic small subunit ribosomal RNA", at positions 483 to 1783 of the family's 1831-position model. The record is from RNAcentral.
AUACCGGGCCUUUUUGGGCUUGGUAAUUGGAAUGAGGGAGAGUUAAACGGACCAUCGAGUAUCCAUUGGAGGGCAAGUCUGGUGCCAGCAGCUGCGGUAAUACCAGCUCCAAUAGCGUAUAUUAAAGUUGUUGCAGUUAAAAAGCUCGUAGUUGGACUUGUGUGCGCUGUCCGCGGGUGGCCUGCGCCCAAAAGGGCGUUUCGGUUCGGCCCCGGUGGCGCCUUGAAAUCUGCAGCUGGGGGGACGUUGGCCUUAACUGGUCGGCGACCGCACGCCGGCUGCUCGGCUACUGUGAGAAAAUUAGAGUGUUCAAGGCAGGCAUUGGGUGCAAUUGAAUACAUUAGCAUGGAAUAAUAAAAUAUGGCUCCUGCCGUAUUUUGUUGGUUUUGACUGGUGGGAGUAAUGAUUGAUAGGGACGGUUGGGGGUGCUAGUAUUGAGCGGCCAGAGGUGAAAUUCAUGGAUUCGCUCAAGACUAACUUAUGCGAAAGCAUUCACCAAGGACGUCCUCUUUAAUCAAGAACGAAAGUUGGGGGAUCGAAGACGAUCAGAUACCGUCGUAGUCUCAACCAUAAACUAUGUCGACUUGGGAUCGGCGGUAGUUUUUUUCAUUAAGACACUGUCGGGACCACGGGAGAAAUCAAAGUGUCUGGACUCUGGGGGAAGUAUGGUCGCAAGGCUGAAACUUGAAGGAAUUGACGGAAGGGCACCACCAGGAGUGGAGCCUGCGGCUUAAUUUGACCCAACACGGGGAAACUUACCAGGUCCAGAGAUAUAGAGGAUUGACAGAUUGAAGCUCUUUCUUGAUCACUUCGGUGGUGGUGCAUGGCCGUUCUUAGUUGGUGAGUGAUUUGUCUGGUUAAUUCCGUUAACGAACGAGACCUCAGCCUGCUAGUGUAGUCGGCUGGAUUGCCUUUGGCGAUCCGUGAUUUCGACUUCUUAGAGGGACAAUCGACGCGCAGUCGAUGGAAGUUUGAGGCAAUAACAGGUCUGUGAUGCCCUUAGAUGUUCUGGGCCGCACGCGCGCUACACUGCUGGGCUCAGCGAGUUUUACUUGGCCGAGAGGCCCGGUUAAUCUUGUGAAAUCCCAGCGUGCUUGGGCUCGCCUCCUGCAACUGGAGGCGCCAACGAGGAAUUCCUAGUAGACGCAGGUCAUCAACCUGCAUCGAUUACGUCCCUGCCCUUUGUACACACCGCCCGUCGUUCCAUAAGAGUGAGGCAUCCGGUGAAUUCUCGGGAGAGCCUGGGCGUGGCCAGCAAUGGUCUGCUCGGGUUUGAACUUGCAUAAACUUGGUGCCUAUGAUUAGGG